GGAAGACGCCUGUAAUCUUAGCACUCAGGAGGCUGAGGCAGGAGGAUUGCCAUGAGUUCAAGACCAGCCUGAACUACAAAGCUAGACCCUGCCUCAACCAACCCUUCAAGUAGUAAUUAACAUCCAGACAUUUUUUUUCCUGUCUAUUGAUGGCUGGGUUUUUUUGUAGACGUGUUUUCAUGUCUUUUGGAUUAAUACCUGGGAUUGGACUGCUAGAUCAUAUGAGUGCAACACACUGACCAGAGGGAUGGGGAUCGCUUCACACAUUGAUUGUCCAGCAGACACCAACUGGGUAUUUCAUAACUCAGUUCAAUUCUGUGAAAAUAAAAGGAAAACUAAAAUGAACACAACUUUUAAAGAGUUUGGGGCCACGAAAUACGGGACCUCCCUCUGUUCGAUAGUAGCUUGGAACGUGAGUACUGCUCCCUCUGCCUCUGGGCCACGGGCUUGGAGAGUGACAGGACAACCAACCACAUCGUGUACCGAGAUGCCGGGAGCACUAUGCUGCAGAUCACACGGCCAGGCAUAACUCGCUCCCCCUGCAGAUGAGGCAGGGCCCUGCGUGGAAUGAGGAACGCGCAUCUUAUUCGUGUCCUCCCGGACGAGGCAGGGCUCCGCAGGAGAACAGGCGACAGAGGCCGUGGUGGAGCGGGGCCUGCCAAGAAGAGGACUGCCUUCCUCUCCGCCCACUCGCCGGAAAACCGUCACGCAUGGCGUCCUGCAGACCCUAGCUGCUCUCCUGGCUCUGGCUACAGGCCAGGCCCUUUUGCCUCCCCCUGCACUUCCCUUAUCUCUACCACUAUAAAUAAAUG
RNAcentral lists this long non-coding RNA (812 nucleotides) under Heterocephalus glaber (naked mole-rat). RNAcentral describes it as "lncRNA (ENSHGLG00100048855.1)". The record is from RNAcentral. Lineage: Eukaryota; Metazoa; Chordata; Mammalia; Rodentia; Bathyergidae.